RNAcentral lists this unclassified non-coding RNA (338 nucleotides) under soil metagenome. Its description in RNAcentral is "partial contains 5.8S ribosomal RNA, internal transcribed spacer 2, and large subunit ribosomal RNA". The stretch from base 1 to 120 matches the Rfam family "5.8S ribosomal RNA", at positions 35 to 154 of the family's 154-position model. The record is from RNAcentral.
GAUGAAGAACGCAGCGAAAUGCGAUACGUAGUGUGAAUUGCAGAAUUCAGUGAAUCAUCGAAUCUUUGAACGCACAUUGCGCCCUUUCGUAUUCCAAAGGGCAUGCCUGUUCGAGCGUCAUUUGUACCCUCAAGCUUUGCUUGGUGUUGGGCGUCUUGUCUCCAGUCCGCUGGAGACUCGCCUUAAAGUCAUUGGCAGCCGGCCUACUGGUUUCGGAGCGCAGCACAAGUCGCACUCUUUUCCAGCCAAGGUCAGUGUCCAACAAGCCUUUUUUCAACUUUUGACCUCGGAUCAGGUAGGGAUACCCGCUGAACUUAAGCAUAUCAAUAAGCGGAGGA